CCUACGUGAGGCAGCAGUGGGGAAUAUUGCACAAUGGGGGAAACCCUGAUGCAGCGCCGCCGCGUGAGCGAUGAAGUAUUUCGGUAUGUAAAGCUCUAUCAGCAGGGAAGAACAUGACGGUACAUGACUAAGAAUCCCCGGCUAACUACGUGCCAGCAGCCGCGGUAAUACGUAGGGGGCAAGCGUUCACCGGAUUUACUGGGGGUAAAUGGAGCGUAGACGGCGGUGCAAGCCAGAUGUGAAGGCGCGGGGGUCCACACCGGGACUGAAUUGGGAACGGUGGGGAUGGAGUGUAGGAGAGGCAGGCGGAAUGCCUAGUGUAGCGGUGAAAUGCGUAGAUAGUAGGAGGAACACCAGUGGCGAAGGCGGCCUGCUGGACGAUGACUGACGUUGAGGCUCGAAAGCGUGGGGAGCAAACAGGAUUAGAUACCCGAGUAGUC
Molecule: ribosomal RNA, 440 nt
Filed under: uncultured bacterium
Lineage: Bacteria
Description: partial 16S ribosomal RNA
Rfam family: Bacterial small subunit ribosomal RNA
Source: RNAcentral